This 267-nucleotide ribosomal RNA is filed under the name uncultured bacterium. RNAcentral describes it as "partial 16S ribosomal RNA". It matches the Rfam family "Bacterial small subunit ribosomal RNA", at positions 793 to 1055 of the family's 1533-position model. The record is from RNAcentral.
AUCCUAGCUGUAAACGAUGCUGACUAGGUGUGGGAGGUAUCGACCCCUCCCGUGCCGCCGCUAACGCAUUAAGUCAGCCGCCUGGGGAGUACGGCCGCAAGGUUAAAACUCAAAGGAAUUGACGGGGGCCCGCACAAGCGGUGGAGCAUGUGGUUUAAUUCGACGCUACGCGAAGAACCUUACCUGGGCUCGAACGACUGGUAGUAGUCCCGAUGAAAGUUGGGGCGACCCGCAAGGGAGCCAGCCGAGGUGCUGCAUGGCUGUCGU